GUUAAGGUGAGCGCCACAAAUUGUCUUCGCGAAGAUUUUUUAAGGAGCUGACCAUGCAGGGCAUCGUAAGGACUCUUGUCAUUAUUGGAUUGGUUGGCAAGCUGGCCGUUCCGACGUAUUCUAUGGUUCACGCUUCGGUCCCUGCCGUUCGUGGAACCAUGGCACUAGCCUUCUUGACUUCAUGCUUUGUAGGAGGUAGUACCUUCCUUUGUGAAAAAAUAGGUGGAGCGUGCAAGUACAACACUGAUUGUUGCCACCGCCUCGUGUGCCUCCAAGUCACCCAGACCUGCGAACCACGCGGCGCACACGCACGUCACGCUAGAGUGGUCAGGACAAAGCCCGUGACCCAUCCUUGGGGCAGGGCGCUUUCCAUGAAGACCACGUUGGCAGGGCGCUGAAGACCACAAUGGUUCAUUCAGAAGAUCCGUUUUUGAAAUUCAUUUGUGUAUGGUCUGCCUGCCACACAACAGCCUUCAUUGAAGUCGCAGUGCCCAAAGCCUUAAGACGUCCAAAGGGAGGAAACAAAAACUGGUUUAUACGUACUUGCAUUGAUUUCGGUGAAAGGAAAUAAAGUGUUCUCCCA
Molecule: long non-coding RNA, 583 nt
Organism: Rhipicephalus microplus (southern cattle tick)
Lineage: Eukaryota; Metazoa; Arthropoda; Arachnida; Ixodida; Ixodidae
Source: RefSeq, a predicted model, not a curated record